Molecule: ribosomal RNA, 487 nt
Filed under: uncultured bacterium
Lineage: Bacteria
Description: bacterial SSU rRNA
Rfam family: Bacterial small subunit ribosomal RNA
Source: RNAcentral
AGAGUUUGAUCAUGGCUCAGGAUGAACGCUGGCGGCGCGCCUAACACAUGCAAGUCGAACGAUUAAAGCACCUUCGGGUGUGUAUAAAGUGGCGAACGGCUGAGUAACACGUGGGCAACCUGCCCCUCUCAUUGGGAUAGCCACGGGAAACCGUGGAUAAUACCGAAUACUUCGGGACUUCCGCAUGGAAGGCUCGAGAAAGCUCCGGCGGAGAGGGAUGGGCCCGCGGCCUGUUAGCUUGUUGGUGGGGUAACGGCCUACCAAGGCAAUGAUGGGUAGCUGGGUUGAGAGACCGACCAGCCAGAUUGGGACUGAGACACGGCCCAGACUCCUACGGGAGGCAGCAGUGGGGAAUCUUGCACAAUGGGCGAAAGCCUGAUGCAGCGACGCCGCGUGCGGGAUGAAGGCCUUCGGGUUGUAAACCGCUUUCAGCAGGGACGAGGCGAAAGUGACGGUGCCUGCAGAAGAAGCCCCGGCUAACUACGUG